GUCCCCAAUCAUACUACUUAUGCAGAUUUCUGUCAGUUCUGUGGUCCAUUUAUUCAGAACAUGUUGGAAAUGCGAAUUGUGAGUCUGUCUGGGGUAAUGCAGGACUGAAGGAUUGGAAGAUCGCUACAGUGUGUUAAUCAGGCUUGAUGAUCAAAAAAAUGCAGAUUAUGUUUACAAGCUGUACAAUGGAAAGUGUUUUUCAUCACUUGAGGAGGAAACGUGCCGCAUGUUCUUCACUGUAGAUAUGCAAUAUACUGGGUCAAUUGAACACUCACAGCCUUCCUCGGCAAGCUCUACAGAGCUGCCUAAUUGUCCAGUUUGUCUUGAGAGACUAGACCAAGAUACUGCUGGAAUUAAAUCAUAAAAAUGAUAUUUCAUUGAUCAAAUCAAAGGUCGGGCAGCCUCUUGCCGCUAUUUUCGAAACAGCCUCUUGCCGCUAUUUUCGAGGAAUAAGGAUCAUGUGCGGAUAGGAAUAAGGGCCACGUGUAUCAUCCGAACUGACACAAGAAGAGGUAGUACGGGAAAUGUGUGAGCGAAGGAGCACUGGAUUGGAGUGCGUAGCAGAGGAUUACAUCUGAAGCAGGUGUGGGAUGUAUUUAAGGGGGGACCACUCUCUCAUUCGGCAUGUUAGUUGUGUGAUUGUUCAUUGGACUGAGGAUCCGGGAUCCAUAGCAUUCUAUCGUUCUCUUUGUCGUGUUCAUUCCUUUGUCAUUUACUUGUACUUAUCGCAUUGUUCUUAAGAUCUCAUUAUUAAUCUACUUUGGUGAUUGUCUUGUUUCA
Non-coding RNA from Salvia hispanica, 780 nucleotides. NCBI's taxonomy places the organism in Eukaryota, Viridiplantae, Streptophyta, Magnoliopsida, Lamiales, Lamiaceae. The record is from RefSeq and is a predicted model, not a curated record.